AAGUCGUAACAAGGUUUCCGUAGGUGAACCUGCGGAAGGAUCAUUAUCGAAAUAGCAUGACGAGUUGUCGCUGGCCCCCAUGCGAGGGUUGUGCACGCUUGUUGUUCUUCAUUUCUCCAUCUCAUUUGUGCACCUCUUGUGUGGAUCAAUGUCCUUUGCGGACGAAUGGGGGGUUUGCUUUGCAAAAUACUUGCGGGCUUUCCUUGUGAUCUAUAUUUUUACAUAUACUCCAGUCACAUAGAAUGAUAUAUAUAUAUAUGGAAAUUGUUAUACAACUUUCAGCAACGGAUCUCUUGGCUCUCGCAUCGAUGAAGAACGCAGCGAAAUGCGAUAAGUAAUGUGAAUUGCAGAAUUCAGUGAAUCAUCGAAUCUUUGAACGCAUCUUGCGCUCCUUGGUUAAUCCAAGGAGCAUGCCUGUUUGAGUGUCAUUAAUGUCUCAACCACGCCGUGAGGUCGUGGCUUGGAUUUGGGGGUUACAGGCUCUGAACUUGUGGUCUGCUCCCCUGAAAUACAUGAGCGGUGAACGACCCUCUCCGUCGAGAUGUGAUACAUAUCUGCAUCCAGUUGAGGGUUUUGCUGCUGCGAGAGUUGGAUUUGAUAAACUUGACCUCAAAUCAGGUAGGACCACCCGCUGAACUUAAGCAUAUCAAUAAGCGGAGGAAAAGAAACUAACCAGGAUUCCCUUAGUAACUGCGAGUGAAGUGGGAAGAGCUCAAAUUUGUAAUCUGGCGGCCUUUGGCCGUCCGAGUUGUAAUCUAAAGAA
Molecule: unclassified non-coding RNA, 763 nt
Filed under: uncultured Inocybe
Lineage: Eukaryota; Fungi; Basidiomycota; Agaricomycetes; Agaricales; Cortinariaceae
Description: sequence contains ITS1, 5.8S rRNA gene and ITS2
Rfam family: 5.8S ribosomal RNA (bases 274-428)
Source: RNAcentral